GUUAUAAGACGAGUCGGGAAAGUUUUUUCGCUAAGAGAUCAGUCUAUGUCCUAUCAGCUAGUUGGUGAGGUAAUGGCUCACCAAGGCUAUGACGGGUAUCUGGUUUGAGAGGAUGAUCAGACACACUGGAACUGAGACACGGUCCAGACUCCUACGGGAGGCAGCAGUGAGGAAUAUUGCACAAUGGAGGAAACUCUGAUGCAGCAACGCCGCGUGGAGGAUGACGCAUUUCGGUGUGUAAACUCCUUUUAAGAGGGAAGAUAAUGACGGUACCUCUUGAAUAGGCACCGGCUAACUCCGUGCCAGCAGCCGCGGUAAUACGGAGGGUGCAAGCGUUACUCGGAAUCACUGGGCGUAAAGGGUGCGUAGGCUGGCUUCUAAGUCAGAUGUGAAAUCCAAUGGCUUAACCAUUGAACUGCAUUUGAAACUGGGAGCCUAGAGUUCAGAAGGGGCAGAUGGAAUUAGUGGUGUAGGGGUAAAAUCCGUAGAUAUCACUAGGAAUAUCAAAAGCGA
RNAcentral lists this ribosomal RNA (513 nucleotides) under uncultured Campylobacterota bacterium. RNAcentral's name for it is "bacterial SSU rRNA". It matches the Rfam family "Bacterial small subunit ribosomal RNA", at positions 185 to 718 of the family's 1533-position model. The record is from RNAcentral. Lineage: Bacteria; Pseudomonadati; Campylobacterota.